Molecule: unclassified non-coding RNA, 334 nt
Filed under: soil metagenome
Description: partial contains 5.8S ribosomal RNA, internal transcribed spacer 2, and large subunit ribosomal RNA
Rfam family: 5.8S ribosomal RNA (bases 1-120)
Source: RNAcentral
GAUGAAGAACGUAGUGAAAUGCGAUAAGUAGUGUGAAUUGCAGAAUUCAGUGAAUCAUCGAAUCUUUGAACGCACAUUGCGCCCUGUGGUAUUCCGCAGGGCAUGCCUGUUCGAGCGUCAUUGACACCCUCAAGCUCUGCUUGGUCUUGGGCGUUUGUGCCUGCCGUUGCGCAGGGACUCGCCUCAAACUCAUUGGCAGCCUGCCUUUGCCGGUCUUUGCACAGCACAGUCGUGCCAAAGCCGCGGUGAGCAGGCGCUCCACAAGCCCUUUUCAGCUUGACCUCGGAUCAGGUAGGAAUACCCGCUGAACUUAAGCAUAUCAAUAAGCGGAGGA